This 425-nucleotide ribosomal RNA is filed under the name uncultured bacterium. Its description in RNAcentral is "bacterial SSU rRNA". It matches the Rfam family "Bacterial small subunit ribosomal RNA", at positions 354 to 796 of the family's 1533-position model. The record is from RNAcentral.
GUAACGAAUCUUCCGCAAUGGGCGAAAGCCUGACGGAGCAAUGCCGCGUGUGGGAUGAAGCAUCUUCGAUGUGUAAACCACUGUCAGGGUCUAGGAAUACUGACCAGACCCAGAGGAAGGGCCGGCUAAUUCCGUGCCAGCAGCCGCGGUAAUACGGAAGGCCCGAGCGUUAAUCGGAAUCACUGGGCUUAAAGCGUACGCAGGCGGACUUGUAGGUAUCUUGUGAAAUCCCACGGCUUAACCGUGGAACUGCAGGGUAAACCACAAGUCUUGAGACAUGUAGGGGUCAGUGGAACCAUGAGUGGAGCGGUGAAAUGCGUAGAUAUUCAUGGGAACGCCAAUGGCGAAGGCAGCUGACUGGGCAUGUUCUGACGCUCAGGUACGAAAGCGUGGGUAGCGAACGGGAUUAGAAACCCGAGUAGUCC